UCUAAGUCUCGACCCAGCUAUUUUGGAGGAAAAAUACAUGAACCUGCAGCGGGAUAUUUUGGGAUGCAAGUAGGCAACUUGCACAACUUGUCCACUUGUCCCACUUGCAAGCUAUUAUCAAAGAUAAAAGCUAAGAGCGAGUUGGCGAAGAUAUUAUCAAAGGUGCAAGCUAAGCACGAGUUGGCAAGAAUAAUAUCUACUAUGCAAGCUAAGAUCGAGUUGGAGACAACUUGCAAGGAAAGUUGUAAACUUAUCCACUUGACGACAACUAAGCAUGAGUUGUAAACAACUAGCACGAGUUGUGAACAACUAAGCGUAGGUUGUAAAGUAAGGCAACUUGAUCUUAAGGAGGUUUAAAUUUUACCUAUAAAUAGAGAUGAGAGUCUCAUUUGUAAAUCAUGUAGAGUUGAGUGAGUUUACUCAUUAGAGAGAUUGUAAAGUUUUCCCUUUCAUUAAUAUAAAGAAAGUUUCCCGACCUUACUUGUUUUUCAUAUAUCCCUUACUUCUAAAUUCUCUUCUCAACGUGGGUAUAAUUUAGCCUCCUUGGUUAAAUUACUUGUGAGCGUGGAAAGGCUGACUUAACGUUUUCUCGUAAGGUGCGAGAAUUGUCAAGCGUUAAGGCCGCACGGUUCUAGUUGUUCGGGUGUAACGAAACUAGGUCCGUGACAAGUGGUAUCAUAGCCUCGUUUGUAGGCUGUUAUAAUGGCGAAAUCUCAAGAAACUGUUGAUAUUGAGAUUGAAGAGAGGGGUCGAGGUGCUACCCAAACUGAAGUAAGAAAAACUCGAGGUAAAAGUAAGGUAAGGGAGGCCAUCAACAUGGAAGGUAAACUUGACCAAAUCAUCUCAAAUAUGGGUGAUCGGAUCGAAUCUCUUGAAAGCUCCUUCGAGGCGUUGGAGGGACACGCCAUUGGAAAAUUGGAAACUCUACAAAUCAAUGUCCAAGAGGUGAUGGACACACAAGCAUCAUUGGAAAAUGAUGUCCAAACGAUGAAAGAUGAUGUUCGAGCUAUAGUAGCCGGACAAGCCGCGGUGAUGGAUGAUUUUGGUCGUCUCCAAACCAAAGUCUUUGACGUCGUUACCGCUAUGCAGGGCCAAGUUAACCAAUUGGCUGUAAUGAUGGAAAGAAUGAGCAAAGAGCUUGAACAAUACAAGCACUCCACUGUCGGUACAAGCGGAGGUGCCGCUUCAACUAUUGUUGCCCCGAGGAUUGAAUACCCGAAGCCUAAACAUUAUGAUGGGCGACGGGAUGCCAAAGAUGUGGAAAACUUCCUAUGGCAAUAGGAAGUUUACUUUGAAGGCGUAAAUCUUGUUGAUGAAGCCAUGAAAGUUCGGACCGCUUCUAUGUAUCUUACCGACACCGCAUCUCUUUGGUGGUGUCAUAAGCAUGCUGAUAUUGAACAUGGAGCUAGCAGAAUUGAUACUUGGACGAGUUCAAAAAGGAGCUAAAAAGACAAUUUUACUCGGAGAACGUUGUGUAUGAGGCCCGCAAGAAACUUAGGGAAUUGAAACAAAAAGGGACCAUCCGUGACUAUGUCAAAGAGUUCACGACCCUUAUGCUUCAAAUCCCUAGCAGGCCGGAGGAUGUCUUGCUAUUCUAUUUCAUGGAUGGAUGCACAACAUGGGUGCGACAAGAAUUACAACGUCGCGGAGUUAAAAAUAUAGAUGAGGCAAUUGCGGUUGCCGAAUCUUUAACGGAGUUCCAAAGGAGUACGGAGUCGCAAGCAAGACUUUCAAACCAACAAAAGGGAAUUUUGGCAGAGGCGGAGGUGAUAUGCGAAAAGAUAAGCAACAGAGUAAGCCGAAUUGGAGGCCAAAUCCCAAAGUUGAUUACAAACCCGGCGAUAACAAACCGACUACUUGGCGGAAGGAGUAUGAUGAUAAAAAGAGGGGUAAUUUUGCUCCUCGUAGUUGCUUCAUUUGCAAAGGGCCACAUCUUAUGCGGGAUUGCCCUAAACUUGGAUCCUUAGCAUCUAUUACGGAGACUCAACCGGAGGCUUCCCAUGGUGAGGAGAAGGGUGCAAGUCAUAUGGGUUCAUUGCAACUUUUCAAUGCUUUGAAUGCCAAAACCGUUCCGGGGGUGAACAGAGAAAAAGGACUGAUGUUCGUACUUGUCAAAAUCAAUGGAUGACAAACACGGGCAUUAGUUGAUACUGAAGCCACACACAAUUUCAUCACGGAGGAUGAAGCCCGGAGGCUUGGAUUGAACAUUCACCAUAGAGGUGGAUUGAUGAAGACGGUAAAUGCAAUCACAAGGCCAUUAGCGGGCGUAGUUCGAGGAGCGAAACUACGGUUGGGUUCGUGGCAUGGACCCGUUGAUAUCUCUGUGGCCCCGAUGGAUGAUUUCAAGCUAGUAUUGGGCUUGGAUUUCUUAAGGAAGGUUAAUACCAUUCCUAUGCCUUCCUUUGGUUCGAUGUGUAUCUUGGAGAAGGGAUCAUCAUGCAUGGUUCCUACUGUUUCCAUGGGAACGGAAACACGACAACUUUCGGCUAUGCAAUUAGCGAAAGGAUGGAAGAAAGGUGAGCCGACAUUCAUUGCUCAAUUGUCGGUUACAACCAAAGUCACCACAAAUAAUGAUGACGUACCAAAUGUUAUUGCGAAGGUCCUUGAGGAAAAUAAGGACGUGAUGCCCAAAGAAUUGCCAAAGAAACUUCCGCCUAGAAGGGAAGUAGACCAUCGCAUUGAGUUGGAGCUCGGUGCCAAACCCCCGGUCAUGGCACCUUAUCGCAUGGCACCUUCGGAGUUAGAGGAACUUCGAAAACAACUUAUGGAGCUGGUGGAGAUGGGAAGGAUUAGACCAUCCAAAGCUCCCUAUGGCGCCCCGGUGUUAUUCCAAAAGAAGCCGGAUGGGACUCUAAGGAUGUGCGUUGAUUACCGGGCACUAAACAAGGUGACGGUGAAAAACGAAUAUCCUAUUCCAUUGAGUGCAGACUUAUUUAAUCGGCUUGGUAGUACUAAAUUCUACACCAAGGUUGAUUUGCAAAAAGGCUACUAUCAAGUUCGGAUUGCGGAAGGAGAUGAGCCUAAAACUACUUGCAUUACUCGGUAUGGUUCCUAUGAAUGGCUUGUCAUGCCGUUCGGUGUGACAAAUGCCCCGGCCACCUUUUGCACCUUGAUGAACAAGAUAUUUUAUCCAUACUUGGAUAAGUUCGUGGUGGUUUAUCUCGAUGAUAUUUUCAUCUAUAGCAACACGUUGGAGGAACAUGUUGAGCACUUGAAAAUAAUCUUCCAAGUGUUGCGGGAAAAUGAAUUAUACAUCAAGAAGGAGAAAUGUUCAUUUGCCAUAGAAGAGGUGCAUUUCUUGGGACAUAUCAUCGGGCAUGGUCACUUGAAAAUGGAUGGAGCCAAAGUAAAAGCAAUUAAUGAGUGGGAGCUACCUACUAAGGUGACGGAAUUGCGGUCUUUCCUUGGAUUGGUGAAUUACUAUCGGCGUUUCAUUAAAGGAUACUCCUCUAGAGCAGCCCCAUUGACGGACUUGCUCAAAAAGUCUCAAGGAUGGGAUUGGACCGUGAAAUGUCAAAGAGCCUUUAAUGAUUUAAAGGCGGCGGUCAUGUCGGAGCCGGUGUUGGCCUUACCGGAUUUCAACAAAAAUUUUGAAGUUCAAAGUGAUUUAUCGGAUUUUUCUAUUGGAGGUGUGCUCAUGCAAGAAGGACAUCCUAUUGCCUUCAAGAGCCGCAAGUUGAAUGACACGGAACGGCGUUAUACGGUGCAAGAAAAAGAAAUGAAGGCCAUUGUGCAUUGCCUACGGGUAUGGCGUCAUUAUCUUUUGGGUUCCCGUUUUGUGAUCAAGACGGACGACGUGGCUACAAGUUACUUCCAAUCACAAAAGAAGUUGAGCCCGAAGCAAGCUAGAUGGCAAGAUUUCUUAGCGGAGUUUGAUUAUGUGAUGGAAUACAAACCUGGAAAGGUGAAUGUAGUGGCGGAUACACUUAGCCGGAAGGCGGAACUCGCGGCAAUUAGUUAAGCCACGGGGACCUUGUUAGAGGAAAUUAAACAAGGAUUGGAGCAUGACCCCAUAGCGAAAACAUUGAUGCAAGCCACUCGAGAAGGAAAAACAAGACGAUUUUGGAUUGACAACGGGUUACUAUACACCACUGGGCAACGGGUAGUUGUGCCUAAGUGGAGAAAUUUGCGGCGUGACGUGAUUCGAGAAUGUCACGACACCAAGUGGGCUGGACAUCCCGGGAUAGAUCGGACAUUAGCUUUGAUUGAACGAGCAUAUUAUUGGCCGCAAAUGAGGGAUCAAGUUGAGACAUAUGUUCGGACAUGUCUUGUGUGCCAACAAGACAAAGUGGAGAAUAAAUUACUGGCAGGACUUCUUGAUCCUCUUCCUAUUCUGGAUCAACCAUGGGACGUGGUCACCAUGGAUUUCAUUAGUGCCUUGCCAAAGUCCGAGGGGUUCGGAUCAAUAAUUGUUGUUGUUGAUCGGUUUUCCAAGUAUGCUACUUUCAUUCCAGCCCCUAAGGAUUGCACUGCGGAGGAGACGGCAAGGUUAUUUUUCAAAAAUGUUGUGAAGUAUUGGGGGUUACCGAAGCAUAUUGUAAGUGAUCGAGAUCCCCACUUCACGGGGAAAUUGUGGACGGAGUUGUUUAAACUCCUUGGAUCGGAUUUGCACUUUUCAAGUAGUUUUCACCCGCAGACGGAUGGACAAACGGAACGGGUAAAUGCAUUGUUGGAGUGUUAUCUUCAGCACUUUGUUAGUGCUAAUCAGCGUGAUUGGGCGAAGUUGAUGGACAUAGCCCAAUUUUCCUACAACUUGCAGAAAAGUGAAUCCACGGGACAUAGUCCAUUUGAGCUUGCAACAGGGCGACAACCUACAACGCCCCACACAUUAUCUAUGGUUGGUGAUUCUAACCGAAGUCCCGGAGCAAUCAAAAUGGCUAAGUCAUGGGAAGAUCAUGUGGACUUAGCAAGAUCUUGCUUGGAGAAAGCUCGGAAGUGAAUGAAGAAGUGGGCCGAUGUGAGACGAAGACCAUUGGAAUUUAACAUUAGAGAUCAAGUAUUUGUGAAAGUGUUGCCUCAACAAUUCAAAGCCUACCGCAAAGUUCACAAGGGCUUGGUUAGAAAAUAUGAAGGUCCAUUCCCCAUCCUAGCAAAGGUUGGAAGAGUUUCCUACCGGCUAGAUCUUCCAAGCACUUUAAAGAUCCACCCGAUUUUUCAUGUAAGCAUGUUGAAACCAUAUAGGCCGGACUUGGAGGAUCCAGGGAGAAACAAAUCAAAGAGAGCGCCUCCCAUCGUCACAAAAUAUUUUGAGAAAGAUGUUGAAUCCAUUCUAACGGAUCGAGUGGUGAGACGGAGAGGUGUUCCCCCUUGCACUCAAUACUUAAUCAAAUGGAAGGGAUUGCCCAAGCUACUUGGGAAAAUGAGGGAGAUCUAUGGCAAUUUGAGUCCGAGCUUCGAAACUAAAUGGCGACGAGGGCGUCGCCAAAUUCGGUGGGGGAGUGACUUAUGCCCCAUGCGGUCGCGUUCGAUCCGUCCCAGUAGCGGCCGCAAAAUGGCGUGGAUAGCACGCUGCAAUAGGACGGAACAUAUUGUUUUGGGAAGAAUGCAGGCUGCCUAAAAUUGUGCAGCUUUCCAGGGCAUUAAUGAGAUUGUUCUAAGUCUCGACCCAGCUAUUUUGGAGAAAAAAUACAUGAACCUGCAGCGGGAUAUUUUGGGAUGCAAGUAGGCAACUUGCACAACUUGUCCACUUGUGCCACUUGCAAGAUAUUAUCAAAGAUAAAAGCUAAGCGCGAGUUGGCGAAGAUAUUAUCAAAGGUGCAAGCUAAGCACGAGUUGGCAAGAAUAAUAUCUACUAUGCAAACUAAGAUC
This 5808-nucleotide long non-coding RNA is filed under the name Olea europaea (common olive). RNAcentral describes it as "long non-coding RNA (OEUR_LNC007806)". Lineage: Eukaryota; Viridiplantae; Streptophyta; Magnoliopsida; Lamiales; Oleaceae. The record is from RNAcentral.